This 253-nucleotide ribosomal RNA is filed under the name uncultured bacterium. RNAcentral describes it as "partial 16S ribosomal RNA". It matches the Rfam family "Bacterial small subunit ribosomal RNA", at positions 524 to 776 of the family's 1533-position model. The record is from RNAcentral.
AACGUAGGUACCGAGCGUUAUCCGGAUUUACUGGGCGUAAAGCGCGUUCAGGCGGUUUGGCAAGUCGGGCAUGAAAUCUCUCGGCUCAACCGGGAGAGGUUGUCCGAUACUUCCAGACUUGAGGGCAGUAGAGGGUGGUGGAAUUCCGGGUGUAGUGGUGAAAUGCGCAGAUAUCAGGAGGAACACCGAUGGCGAAGGCAGCUCGCUGGGACGGUACUGACGCUGAGACGCGAAAGCGUGGGGAGCGAACAGG